Molecule: ribosomal RNA, 481 nt
Filed under: uncultured bacterium
Lineage: Bacteria
Description: partial 16S ribosomal RNA
Rfam family: Bacterial small subunit ribosomal RNA
Source: RNAcentral
GAUGAACGCUGGCGGCGUGCUUAACACAUGCAAGUCGAACGAAGCAUUUAGAACAGAUUACUUCGGUUUGAAGUUCUUUAUGACUGAGUGGCGGACGGGUGAGUAACGCGUGGGUAACCUGCCUUUUACUGGGGGAUAGCAGCUGGAAACGGCUGGUAAUACCGCAUAAGCGCACAAUGUUGCAUGACAUGGUGUGAAAAACUCCGGUGGUAUAAGAUGGACCCGCGUCUGAUUAGCUAGUUGGUGAGAUAACAGCCCACCAAGGCGACGAUCAGUAGCCGACCUGAGAGGGUGACCGGCCACAUUGGGACUGAGACACGGCCCAGACUCCUACGGGAGGCAGCAGUGGGGAAUAUUGCACAAUGGAGGAAACUCUGAUGCAGCGACGCCGCGUGAGUGAAGAAGUAAUUCGUUAUGUAAAGCUCUAUCAGCAGGGAAGAUAGUGACGGUACCUGACUAAGAAGCUCCGGCUAAAUACGUG